Molecule: long non-coding RNA, 337 nt
Filed under: Elaeis guineensis (African oil palm)
Lineage: Eukaryota; Viridiplantae; Streptophyta; Magnoliopsida; Arecales; Arecaceae
Description: long non-coding RNA (EGUI_LNC003714)
Source: RNAcentral
UACAAAAUACAUUAUCAAAUAUGUUCUUUUCAAUGUGCAUGAUGUCAAGAUUAUGUCGAAGAAGAAAUAUUUUUUAAUAUGAAAGAUCGAACAAUUUGCUCUUUUUUCUCUAAUUUUCGAUACUUAUUCGCAUGCCUACUUGGCUGGCCAGAUCCUUACCAAAUAUGACAUCCUAUGGAUCGGAUAGCUGAUUUAAAAUGUUAUCCGUAGACUAGAAUCUUAUCUGGGCAUGUCAUUCAUGCUUUCCGUUGAACUUAAGACUUCUUCUCCAUCUAUGAUCAUCCGACAAGAAACGUCGAUGGCUGGUGAAACAAAUCUUUCCACGAAUAUGGUCCGA